UUAUCUCAGCCCUCAAAUUUUACCUUUUUCCUGUUUCUUCCCCCCCCAUCCCACAGGGCUGUUGGGGAUGGAGCGAGCCAGUGAGCGGCUGUGUGGUACAUAGCUGCCGGCUGGGGUUAAACCAUGGCAUCCCCUGCUAUGAGGUUGGGUUGUGUGGGCACUGGGAGCCGACCUGCGCUGCUGGAGAGUGGGAUGAGCUGGGAUGGGGUGUGCGGAGCACCCUGGCAAGAAAUAGCAAGCAGCCCAGAGCCCUGAAGGACUGCAUCAUUGCACAGGAGAGUGUCGUUGCACAGGAGAGCGUCGCUGCUGUGAGGUGUUUUGGAAGACAGCGUUUUGUCACCUCUUUUGCAUGGCUUGGUCAGGAAUAUCCAGUGCCGAAGUGUACGUGGCUGGGAGCUGCAGAGCUUAGAGCUCUUCCUGAGUGGGGAGGAUGCCAUCACCAGGGUUCUCGCCUGCAGGCUGGUGACUUGUCCAGGCACAGGACCCAGCUCCUCUCCUGGGGGUGGAAGUGAAUGGCAGAGAAGACUAAAGGAAACCCCACAAGGCUCUCCCUGUUUUGGGGAGAGGAGGUCCCUACUGCAGGAGCAGUGGCUGGAGCUGUAGGCUGCUCCCUUCGGGCCAGGUGGAGAGCAGAGGUGGGUGGGAGAGGCGAGAUCACAUCCCAUCAUUUACUUUAUUGAGCAGCUUGUGGGGGCUGUCAGCACAACACAGUUUUUGCUGGGCACCCCCAGGCUCUGAGGCAGCCCAGUGCAGGGGUUUUAAGGUGGAAAACUCCGGUCCAGUCCUCCUAACCACCUUCCAUUGUCUUCCCUCCAUCCAGCUGGUAUGGUCCAGUCCACUUCUCCCUGGCUUUCUCUGAGCACCUUUCCUGUGCUGCCCAGCUUCCCUGGAUAACUGCUGGGAUAACUGCUGGUUGGAUGGGUCUGCACUUCAGCUUUACCGGUGGAGUUGAGCUGGUUAAGGGGUAUGUCACACCAGUAACACCUUUGGUGUGGAUGCAGCAGCUGGAUCCCUUGCACUGGUAGAAGCCAUCAUGUUAAUACUGCUGUAAGCUCUUCUGCAUCAGGGGAUUUUUGCAAGGUAGCAAACCCUAUAGGCUCAAAGUCAGCCAGAGGCAGGUACGGGCCAGCCCCUCUGCUGCCCGCUUGCAUGCUGCUUGCCUUUUGUCUCAGGUCAUUUUGUGCCUUUCCUGAAGUCCCAACAGCUGGAUUUAAGAGAUUGCUCGCCUUGCUUUUUUUUCUUCCUGGUCAGCUAAACUAAAACUUUUGAUCUUUUCACUGGUGCUGCAGGGGUAGCAUCCUAUGAGGUCCUGUGUAAAUCUCAGCUGGGGUUGGGGAGCUAUUGCCAGUAACUUAGAAAGGAGGAGAAAAAUCCAACCUCAGAGUACUAAAAAAAAAAAAAAAAAAAAAGCCACAACCUGCAACUCGUGAUUAAGACUUUGUAUUUUGAGGCCUAGAUUCGAUCAUGUUGCAGCCAUCUCUUAUUGAAAAUGUUGGCUGAGCAAAAUCCUGCCAAAAUAAAAUGCAUUAUAUUGCCUUGUGCAGUUCCCUGCCCAGGUGGGCGGUGAGCCCUGAAGGCACGAGUGGAAGGGGCUUGCAGGCUGUGCAAGGAGUGAGCGGUGCAAGAGGCUGAAGUGUUACAGCCUGGGUAGGUUUAGGAAAGGUGGCUUUUCCUGGCCAGCUUUUAGCCAGGUGGCCUGUCCUUGCAGCUUGGUGUGGGAUGGGUAUCACUGUCCCUGGCAGUGGGGCAGUGCAGAUGCACACGAGAUGUGGUGUGUGCUGCUUUACGUCGUGGAAACGGCAGCUGGGGGCUCAUGCCUGAGUGUGUGGGAAGGGGAGCAAUGACCAGAGCCCAGGCUGUGCUCAGACCUUUUACAUUACAUCUUAUCUGCGCGGGAAGAGGUCUAGCAUGAGUCUCUUUUAGCUAAUGUUAAAGUUUGGUAACAUUAUUACUAUGGUGGUUGUUGGUUUUGUUAUUGUUAUUCUUCUCCUUAUUAUUAUCACUGUGAUUUUUAUUAUAUUAGCUGUGUUGCUGACAUAAAGUUUAUUAUACAUUAAUGUAGUCAUGCUAUAGCAGUCUCUAGAUGUGAUAUACCAAACCCCCUUAAUGCUUCAGCUGAUGUUGAACACAGUCACACCGAUCAGUGCAAUGACCUGUGAUUUAGCAUGCAGAGCAAAAAGCUACCAUACAUCCUUUUGGAAAUACUUGGUAAUCAUUUCCAGCCCCAUUUAAAGAAUAAUGGGUUGUUUAUUUUUUUUUUCCUCUUUCAUAACAGUAGGAAAGUCUGAAAUUGACUUUCCCAGAAAUGAUCGAGGGGGGAGCAAAGGCCAAGAGCUUUGUGCUGUGGCACAGGCAAUUGAGAUGCUGCUCAGAGGUUUUACACGAUGGCGUUUGCUGUGUGACUUGCCGGAUCAUUUGAUUCACGGGGUGCUCUCCGUAUUGCGUCAGGUAGCAGAAAGGCUGCUUAGAGCUUUGUGCCAAAGACCAUGGGAGCUCUCCGCAAGGAAACGAAGUUCUGCUCUCUGAGGGUCCAGUUUCACGCGGACUGGGCAGCCCCAGGAGAUAAGGACCUCCACAAACCUCACCGCACUCUGCUCCAAGUGCAAGGUCCCAGCCCCAUGCUUCCCGCCAGUCAGGAGUAGCGUUUGGAGGAGCCCGGCAGCGUGAUCCUUUGGUAGUUCCCAGGGAUUUUUAGGAUCAUGGGAUGUAUGGACCCCCAAAACCCUCUGGAAAAUGUUGGCUGUGGAUAGAAGCAUCUGGAAGUUCCUACUGUCUUUUUACCCUGUGUUUUCCUGGGUCACCUCUGUCCUGAGGAUUAUAGCAAACCGGUCACUUACUGGAAUACCUCCCCUUGGCAUUUUCUCAAGAUGGAGCCAUUGCUUUACCCAGCAGAAGGAUGGGUUUUUUUCUCCCAGAGCUUUUCCAGCACGACAGCACUCAUGUCCUGCAGGUCUCUGCUGACUUCAAAAAGGAGAGAGGAGGAGCAUGUGGAAGGGAGGUCAGAUCCUGCCAGGGUUUCCUGGGAGAUGAGGUGCAUUCACUGUUCAGAUGAUAAAGCUUGACGAGCUGGGUUUUGCCUUGGAUUACAAUGUUUCAAAAGACUUUCUGAACUCGCUGGGCAACCCUUCCCCUAGGCUUUGGGGACAGGGGAGCUUAAGUUGAAAUCUCCAGUAUCACACAAGGAGAAAGAACAGAGUUGGCUGCUUUGCACAAGUAACUAAAAUCAGUGCUGUGUUGCUGUUGGGAGUGCACAAAAGGAGAAAAGCCUGGAGUAUAGCUCUUGUGUUAGAGAUGGAUUUUUGCCCAGGAGGAAGGUGCACAAGGGAAGAUACAGGAGGAAGGAGGAAAGGUGAUGCUACAAGCCAGCUUCCUGACCUCCAGAGUGGGACUGGCUUCAUAACAAGGUUUUCUAACUAUGGAAGCUCUCCUGAGGAGCUGCAUCAUGCGCUGCUGCCCCAGGGAUGGGACACAGAGCUGGGAGUGAGGAGGAACUCCAAUGUGCCGCUGCGAAUUGCUUUUGUCAGGAGGGAGGCUUUCUGGCAUGUCAUGCGGUGCCGAAAGCCAUCCUACCCUUGACAGCAAAAAUCCUUAUCCUUCUUGUGUUUUUUUCCAGGACAGCUGAUAUUUCCUGUUAGAGAUGCUUUGUAUGCAAAUCAAAGUGUUAAAAAAAAAAAACAACCAAAAAAAAGUCCUGAAAGCAAUCACACCCAUAAACUUGGACCACCGGGGAAUUCCUGCUUAUCAAUUUUUUCUUCUUUUCAGUUCUGUACAAGAUACUUCUUUUCCUGCUUUUUCUUAGUCUUUAAUGUUUGUCCUGCCAGACCUCUUGGUUAUGACCUACCAGUGCUGCUUGGAUUUUGCAGGGCUUUGUGUCAGUCUGCAUGGACAAAAGGCUGUAGGUGCUAGAAGUCGGGGUUAACAGUCCCUGUGUUUCAGCUUUGCCCUGCAUUGCGGUGGUGCUUUCUGGUGUUCAAACUGGACAUGAAUCUCACGCUGCAGAUUGCCAUGUGCCUGUGGUGAUGAUCUGCCUGGGAAGGUGAUCCCAGAAACCUUCAGGAAGGUCAGGGGAGGAAGAGGGGAGGUAGAGAACAAAGAGAAGCCAGCAAAAGUUUAUUUAGGAACUGUUUAAGGAGCAGGAUUUGACCCUCCUGAAGCACCUCAAGAGAGGCCAUGCUUAGCACUGCACUAAUGCAGCAACACGAGUUGGUCACCUCCUCGCUCCAGCAAAGCAAAUUUGUAUCUGCCCAGCCUGUGCCCUAUAGGUAUCCCUAUAAGUGCAGGGGGCUGGUCAAAGCCUCACUUGCACCAUGCUCCCACCCUGCUGCCAGCAGCAGCACCACACUGAUGCUAGAACAAGUUGUGAGGGUGAAAAAAAGACUUGUAGAAGCAAUGCAAGAAAAAGACGUGUCAGAGCAAGAGAGAGCUGCACCACUGCAUGGCCUAGAGAAUAUUGUUGUGUGUGUCCAGAGAUACCCGCUGCAGCCCGGGUCUUGUUGAAUCACACUGUGGUUGCUCUGGCCUUUGUGUGGGUAACGGUGAUAAUCGUUGUAUGUGGUGUUGGGUUUUGUUAUUUGGUUUUUCUUAAAUGUAAAAUUAACAGUCAAAUUGGCGUUGGUAGGGCAGCGAGCCUAGUGCGGCUUUUAUCUACCCUGAACCUGGGGACAAAGGAGGGGAGGGAAAAGGCUUGACCAGUUUGGCGGCUGUGUACAUAACGGUCCCGGAGUUCAAAGCAAAGGACACAACAGUCAGAUACACAAACCUGCCUGGGGUUUGACUGAUAAGUCACAUUUCAAAGCGAAAGUCAAUCCUGAAGGGGGGUCUGUUGAGUGGCUGAAGCCUCCAGUGCUGAGUCCUCUUUAAAAGGGGGUUUCAUAAGGAGUAAUAUGAACAGAAAUGGCUCUUUUGUGGUUUUAUGCAUUCCAGGCAUGCCAGGACUGUUCCUGUCAAGGAUGGGCUGUCUCUGGGGUUUUGGGUUCUUCCCCCCCCCCCAAAAAAAAAAAAAAAAAAAAAAAAAAAUUUGCCACAAACUAGCAGCUAAAAUGGUGAAAAAUAAAUGAGAGUUUCAGAAUCAUUACAGUAGCAGUAAUGGAAACUGUGAGGCUUAUACUUAAACUGGCUGUGGCGUUUCACCGUAUCGUCUACACUGCUGAGCUGCUGGGAUCACUGCUUUUGCCUGCUAUGACUGCUUCAGGGUGGAUUAUUUGGAAGCAGAGCUUUAACUGUUGGUUCCCCAGAACCUGAAAAAUCUGUGCUUUAGGCUUUUUUCAGAAGCAGUGCCUUUUCAGCUGAACCACUGCUAAGUAUGAAUCCCUUUACUGUCAGUGCAGUUAUGUGGACAUACAGCAUCUUUAUGUCAUGACAGCAGCAUUAAUUUCUGCAGGUCUGUGGGUACAGAAAUGGGAUCCAGCUACUCCUGUUUCAGGUGCACUUUUGGUUUCAGGCAAGCUGCGUGAGUUUGGAUUGCACCUGUACACUUUGACACAAAACAGGAUUUUAAAUGAUGUGAGAGCUUCCAUGCACAAAAUGACAGUGCCUUAAACCUUAAAGAAUUGCGGCUGACCUGUGCCUUAGAAGAGGCUGAAGGUUCACAUGUGAUAAAGCACUAGAUGGUUUGUGUAGACCUGGCCUGUUAGAUGGGUGUCUUAAUGCACAAGCCUACACGUCCAGUUCUUGUAGGCAUGUGUGCUGCUCCUGUUGCCGUAGUCCUGUGUGCCAUGGAGGUAGCAGGAGCUCCCAGGUGGCUGAGAAAGCCGUGGACAGAAGUGUUACUGCCAUCACCUUUCAAGCUUGGGUGCUACAGGGAGUAUGGCCAUAACAGUGUGUAAUUAAGUGUGGACCUCAAAUGCCCCUGAGACACCCGGCACAAACACUCAGCACCUUUAUGAGCAGCACCACACUGAUUACCUCUAUGGGCUGGAGCUGCACCUCUGCGUGCUCUGAUGAGACUAAUCCCUCCAUGCAGGGAGCAGAAAACUGAGCCAGGCUCAUCCUGGCAGAGGCUGAGCCAUGGGGCCAUAGAAAACUGCCCAGAGAAUUUGCUUUUCAGCCUGGGUUUGGCCAUAGCACGAGUGCAGGUGGAGAGUAAAAUGCAGAGGGUGAGAAAACAUCUCUUAGAAGGUGGCAAUAAAAGGCAUUGUUGAAAUGAAUCAUCUGGCUUGGUUUUAUUAAAUAUGAAUAUGGUUAUUAGUGAUGAACGGGGAUGGGGUGGAUUUACGACAUGGUGCCUGAAGCCCCUUCCCUCCCUCCGACACAGGCUGAUGUUACAGAAAAAUCUCAAGGCUGUCACUUGGGCUGUUGUAGGUCUGUGGGUGAAGGAACUUUAAUCACUGGGGUUGUUGUCAAAUGCUGCACUUUUAACAAGAUACAAGAAAUUAAGAUCUCACGUUAAUUCAGUGCUCAAUAUAAAUAUUUUUCACCUGAGAGGUGUCUGGGCUUGUAGCCUUCUGGGCUGCUUGCCAUUUUGGGUUUGUUUCUUUUUCUUUUUCUUUUUUUUUUUUUUUUUUUUUUUUAAAAAAAAAAAAAAGAGGGGUUUUUUAUUCCAUCAGUGCUUCCAACCACAGAAAUUUGGAAACAAAAAGUUGGAAGGUGUAGUCAGUAGCGAGCUGUCUUUUACUGGGCCUGUCUCGCAGAGGAGGUUUUGAAGUGGAUUUUGCUGUGGCCACUCAGAGUCUCUGCUGUGGAAAUAUUUAUCACUGUGAAACUGCAGCAAGCUUUGCAAGUGGCAGAAAAACCCUACUUUUGUAACCAAAUAAAUGUGUUUUCCUUACAAGUUACACAGAUAGGUGUAUGUGGUGUAUGUUUGUAAAAUUUUUUGUUUUCAACCGAAAUUGCUUUUCCACUGUGUCAUCUAGAGCGGGAAAACAAGUAGACCUUGAGCUGCAUUUUAAUGUAGGUUUCAUCCAUUUGACUGCAGCAGAAAGUUAUGUUGGGAUGCUCUGUUAUCCUUCUGGUGUGUCCUUGCUUGAUAUUUUGUGCUUGAGAAUCUCCAUUUUCCCUCUCUUUGAUGGUUUGAGAGUUUUGAUAGAGAGGGCAAAAAACGUAUAAAAAUUUUCAUGUUCUUUGGAAGGCUCCAGCAAGUCAUGCAGUGGUGAAGAGAUGCUGACAGCCGGUGGAAGAGCCAGUUUUUGACAGCAUAGGAAGUGAUUAGUGCCUCAUUUGAUGUCCUCACAUCAAAGCUGGAUGGUAUGUAUAUAUUUCAGUAUGUGUGGCAAAAGCAACUCUACCUUAAUUAUUGUGGGCCUUCUGUGACCACAGGAAUGUAUGAUGCCUAACGCCAGCCCUGAUAGAACAAAUAUCUGAGGACCAGCUCAUCACUGCAGCAUAGCCAACUGUCUAUUCUCUGUUCCCUGUGGGAAUUGUGCAACAUGGGAUCCUACAAGGCAAAGACGGGGGUAAAGCUCAUCAGGCAGCACAUGUGCUUUUGUUAGUGUCCAGUUACUCCAUCUGCAAGCCAGUGAAGCUGGGGCUGCAGGAGCUGGCAGUAAGGAAACGCCGUAGUUGCCUGGCUGCGUAGGAGUCCCUGAGCUCCAAAUGUGGCUUCUGACAUGGUGCCACUCAGCACUCGGAGGCUUUAGCAGCUCAGUGCACAUCCCUGGUUGUAUGCCCCAGGCUUGGCGUGUCUUUGUGGCAGCCUGGACCCACUUUUCUUUGCAAGAAAGAGCUCCAAGACCCUUCCUGUCCUACAGCAAGGCUUCUAUCCAGACCUCAACAUGGUCUUCAGUCAGGGUUUGCAGACUAGGCUGGAGCAAUAGGCAGAUGUUUUGUGGUGAGGCCAUGGUACAUGGGACAAGAUGGUUUGAUGCGCCCAAGGCUGCUUUCUGUCACUUGCCAAAUAGCAUAGGACAACCUGUACCCGUAGGGCAUAACCUCUACAGCUUUUCACGUUGGGGGACUGCAACCAGCUGGUCAUUGGGAAUAGCCCAUGUUGGCUGCUGGUCUUCAUUCAGGAAGGUGCUGGUUGUCAUGAGCCAGGAGGGCACGAAGGAGCGUUGUAAUGGCAGAGGUGAUUUGUAUACCGGUGUCUGGCAAUAUUCCCUCACACUGUUGAGUAGUAAAGAUGUAAUCGUUUUUGCACUGAUUAAAUAGUGCCAGUGCAAAAAAAACCCCUCAUUUAUGCUCAUUUAUGGCAGUUGAAUGAAUUGUGUUGUAAUUGGGAACAAAGAAUUCAGGUUCUGACUAAAGCCUGAGUGAGGCUGUCGGGGGAGCACGGUGUCAAGGAGGGACUUGAAGGGGUUGUCCUGUAAUCCUGUGAAAGUGACCUCUCGGUGGAGCAGUGGGACAGAAGGGAUCUCGCAACUGGAGAGCAAGAAGGAACAGGGAGAUGAGUUUGUCCCUUUAAAGGGGGACACACUGACUGGUACCUGUGCUUGACAGAGUAUGGGGAAAUGCCAGGAAGAAUUCAAAGGAGAGCCAUGAAUGGCUUGGGAUUACCAAACCAGAACUCCAGGUUUAAGGAGCUUAGUUUAUUUGGCUAAUUGGGAUGAAGGCUGGCAAGGGGGUGACUUGAUUGCCGCAUCUAGUGGAAGAAAGCUUUGAUCAGGAAGCUCGGGAAGGAAGGAAUCCUUGGAAGUUUUACGCCUUCUUCCCUGAUUUUAGAGGAAAUCUCUCUAGGGUGGCAGCUUUAGUCUAAAAUACUGAGCUUAUUAUGUAGAGGUCUUGUGUGAAAGGGACUGGUCUGCAGAGUACUGAAGGCAGGAUGGAUCAUUUGAGUCUUUGUCUUUAUGCUCAGAGCUCUAAUACUCCCCAGCAUCUUCCUUCCUCUAUCCCUGGGGUAGGGCAGUUCUCCCGCAAUGCUGGGCAUAGCUGAAACUAUCAGGUCAAAACGCUUUGGAGCCAUCUCAUCUUAAGGCAGGCAUCUAAAACAGGUGGGUUUCCCUCUGGUAAUGACUGUUGUUCUCCAGGGACUGUGGGAGGAAGCCAGAAGCUGAUUGAGAUGUGGACUGGUACAUCGUGGAUGUCUGAGGCUGCACAAAGAUGAAACCCCCCUCUCACCGCCUGCGCGAGUGAGAAGGAGCUAUUAGCACAAAGCACCUAAUGAAGAGCCAUCUGAAACCAUUUGAGAUGAAAAUAAUACGGAAACUUUUAAUCAGCUUGCAGAAGCUGAACAGUCCCUGGAGGUCCUGUACCAAGCCUGACCCACUUGCUAGGUCCCAGUGGUGCGACACCGGGUGCCCCUCCACCUGCCUUUGGAGGAGGGAAGGGACAGCGAUCUAAAAAGAGACAAGCACAGGGGAAGGCAAUGAGUUGUAAGACUUUAUUAAGAACGAGUUGGGGUAUUGUGAUCAUUAUUAAAUGCAAGCCUGCCUUCUGCAGCAUUGCUUUUUUUGAGCUGCUGAGAAAGGAGGCAGGUAUUUGGAGAGAUUCGUUUUCAACCCAGUUAAAUGAUUUCCCAGUUCCUUCUCUGCACCCCUGCUUACCACAUCCCAGUCUCUCCAGCUGUGCCAUGUUUGGGAAGCGGCUGUGAGCGUGUGUCCUCGGGGCUGAGCCCCAGCACUGUAAGUGGCCUGGUGUCAAGGGCUACUCCCAUCCCUGUAGGCUGUAGCCUGCUUUGCAGUGAGGGAGGGAGGGCUGUUGGACCGGCACCUAGCAGCAUGACUGUUCUGCCAAAUGUCCCCGUUUGCUGGCAGGACUGCCUGCAGCAGAGGCUCGUGAGGAACCCAGGCUCCCAUCCCUAAGCUUCCUCAAGGAGGUGUGACCACUUUGACACAGCUUCAGAUUGGAACAUCUAAGUGGACAAAGCAACAGUGGGUAAAAAUCAAAUCCAAAAUCUCUGAGCUUUGAGAAGAUGAUAGCAGUGGACUAUUUGCAGCAAACUGUAAUCCAUAUCCCCUUCCAGGAAGAUGUUGCUGGGAAGACAAUGCCCACAUGCUCCUUGGAAGGGCUUGCUGAACUGCCAGACGAGCACCGAGCUUUCACCCACCUGUGUGUACCCAUCCCACAGGCUGCAGCUGGGAUGCCGUUUGCCCUCGUUGGACCCCAGGAGGAUGCAAGGUGCUGGCCUGCGAUGCUCCAGGGCCUUCGGACAACACUCCAGAGUUGUGAGAGCAAACACUCCAAAAGUGAGAGCAAACCACUUCCUCCUGUGUACAACACACCUUGAUUUUCUGAGUUUUUUUCUUUUUAUUUCCUUUUCACUGACUGACUGAAGUACAAAUCCCUUUCACCUAUUUGACAUUUUUUUUUGUUGUUUUUAUUUUUUUGUGUUUGUUUUUUAACUGAUAGGGUUAACGAUGCUAUUAUAAACCUAACAUUCAUGGUAUGUUUUUGAGUUAUCUGAAAAGUGUGAGUCGUUACAUAAAAUGUGAGAAUAGUUGGGAUUGUGGGAUAAUUUUUUUUAAUCCCUGAAUUUCAUUCUCAGUUUUGAAUGAAUCAAAUGUAUUUCACGGGACUGAAAAAGCUGGGAUUUCCCCCCUUUUCUUUCUGCA
Long non-coding RNA from Falco peregrinus (peregrine falcon), 10424 nucleotides. RefSeq lists it as uncharacterized. The record is from RefSeq and is a predicted model, not a curated record. Lineage: Eukaryota; Metazoa; Chordata; Aves; Falconiformes; Falconidae. The transcript has 6 exons.